Molecule: ribosomal RNA, 278 nt
Filed under: uncultured bacterium
Lineage: Bacteria
Description: partial 16S ribosomal RNA
Rfam family: Bacterial small subunit ribosomal RNA
Source: RNAcentral
CCUGCACCUGCCGGCGACCGGCGCACGGGUGAGUAACACGUAUGGAACCUGCCCGCCACAGGGGGAUAACCCGGGGAAACCCGGCCUAAUACCCCAUGCCGCCCGGACCGGGCAUCCGGUCCGGGCGAAAGGAGGAAUCCGGUGGCGGCUGGGCAUGCGGCGCAUUAGCUUGACGGCGGGGUAACGGCCCACCGUGGCGACGAUGCGCAGGGGUUCUGAGAGGAAGGCCCCCCACACUGGAACUGAGACACGGUCCAGACUCCUACGGAAGGCAGCAG